Molecule: ribosomal RNA, 429 nt
Filed under: Acidobacteriota bacterium
Lineage: Bacteria; Pseudomonadati; Acidobacteriota
Description: Acidobacteria bacterium partial 16S ribosomal RNA
Rfam family: Bacterial small subunit ribosomal RNA
Source: RNAcentral
UGGGGAAUUUUGGACAUUGGGGGAAACCCUGAUCCAGCCAUCCCGCGUGUGCGAUGAAGGCCUUCGGGUUGUAAAGCACUUUUUUCAGGAAAGAAACGUCAUGGGUUAAUACCCCGUGAAACUGACGGUACCUGCAGAAUAAGCACCGGCUAACUACGUGCCAGCAGCCGCGGUAAUACGUAGGGUGCAAGCGUUAAUUGGAAUUACUGGGCGUAAAGCGUGCGCAGGCGGUUCGGAAAGAAAGAUGUGAAAUCCCAGAGCUCAACUUUGGAACUGCAUUUUUAACUACCGGGAUAGAGUGUGUCAGAGAGAGCUGGAAUUCCGCGUGUAGCAGUGAAAUGCGUAGAUAUACGGAGGAGCACCGAUGGCGAAGGCAGCCUCCUGGGAUAACACUGACACUCAUGCACGAAAGCGUGGGGAGCAAACAGG